AAACAGCAAGCGUGAGGGUGAGUUUGUGCGAAAAGUCAUCCGUUAUGAGCUGCCACUACAAGAACUAUUACGCUGUGCGAGAAGUUCACAUCGUAGGUGCGUCAAUGUUCUUUAUGGAAGAAAGUACAAGUAGUGCCCUGGUUUACAAUGAAACCUCAGAGAAAUCUCAGGAGAGGUGAAAAAAGACACAGAAAGAGGAUAGUAGAGCUUCAGGGCAAGCAUCAUGACAAGACCUAGUAGUUUCACUCCAAAGAACAUGACGGUGCAAGUUCCAGCCAACAUGAAGAUAAUCUCGGUGGGUGUCAUGG
Long non-coding RNA from Triplophysa dalaica, 308 nucleotides. RefSeq lists it as uncharacterized. NCBI's taxonomy places the organism in Eukaryota, Metazoa, Chordata, Actinopteri, Cypriniformes, Nemacheilidae. The record is from RefSeq and is a predicted model, not a curated record. The transcript is spliced from 3 exons.